This 380-nucleotide ribosomal RNA is filed under the name uncultured eukaryote. RNAcentral's name for it is "partial 18S ribosomal RNA". It matches the Rfam family "Eukaryotic small subunit ribosomal RNA", at positions 592 to 976 of the family's 1831-position model. The record is from RNAcentral.
CAAUAGCGUAUAUUAAACUUGCUGCGGCUAAAAAGCUCGUAGUUGGAUUUCUGCCGAGGACGACCGGUCCGCCCUCUGGGUGAGUAUCUGGUUCGGCCUGGGCAUCUUCUUGGAGAGCGUAGCUUCACUCGACUGUGUGGUGCGGUAUCCAGGACUUUUACUUUGAGAAAGUUAGAGUAUUUCAAGCAGGCUUUCGCCUUGAAUACAUUAGCAUCGACGAAUAAGAUAGGACCUCGGUUGUGUUUUGUUUGCUUCUAGAGCUGAGGUAAUGAUGAAUAGGGACUGUUGAGGGCAUGCGCAUUCAGCUGUCAGAGGUGAAACUCUUGGAUUUGUUAAAGACGGACUAUUGCGAAAGCAUUUGCCAAGGAUGUUUCCAUUGA